This 497-nucleotide ribosomal RNA is filed under the name uncultured bacterium. RNAcentral describes it as "partial 16S ribosomal RNA". It matches the Rfam family "Bacterial small subunit ribosomal RNA", at positions 28 to 507 of the family's 1533-position model. The record is from RNAcentral.
GACGAACGCUGGCGGCGUGCCUAAUACAUGCAAGUAGAACGCUGAAGAGAGGAGCUUGCUCUUCUUGGAUGAGUUGCGAACGGGUGAGUAACGCGUAGGUAACCUGCCUUGUAGCGGGGGAUAACUAUUGGAAACGAUAGCUAAUACCGCAUAACAAUGGAUGACACAUGUCAUUUAUUUGAAAGGGGCAAUUGCUCCACUACAAGAUGGACCUGCGUUGUAUUAGCUAGUAGGUGAGGUAAUGGCUCACCUAGGCGACGAUACAUAGCCGACCUGAGAGGGUGAUCGGCCACACUGGGACUGAGACACGCCCCAGACUCCUACGGGAGGCAGCAGUAGGGAAUCUUCGGCAAUGGGGGCAACCCUGACCGAGCAACGCCGCGUGAGUGAAGAAGGUUUUCGGAUCGUAAAGUUCUGUUGUAAGUCAAGAACGGGUGUGAGAGUGGAAAGUUCACACUGUGACGGUAGCUUACCAGAAAGAGACGGCUAACUACGUG